CGGGGCGUGGCGCAGCCUGGCUAGCGCGCUUGGUUCGGGACCAAGAGGUCGCGGGUUCGAAUCCCGCCGCCCCGA
RNAcentral lists this transfer RNA (75 nucleotides) under Ignavibacteria bacterium. RNAcentral describes it as "tRNA-Pro". It matches the Rfam family "tRNA". Rfam says of the family: Transfer RNA (tRNA) molecules are approximately 80 nucleotides in length. Their secondary structure includes four short double-helical elements and three loops (D, anti-codon, and T loops). The record is from RNAcentral. Lineage: Bacteria; Pseudomonadati; Ignavibacteriota; Ignavibacteria.